CCUACGGGCGGCAGCAGUGGGGAAUAUUGCACAAUGGGCGCAAGCCUGAUGCAGCCAUGCCGCGUGUGUGAAGAAGGCCUUCGGGUUGUAAAGCACUUUCAGCGGGGAGGAAGGCGUUAAGGUUAAUAACCUUGUCGAUUGACGUUACCCGCAGAAGAAGCACCGGCUAACUCCGUGCCAGCAGCCGCGGUAAUACGGAGGGUGCAAGCGUUAAUCGGAAUUACUGGGCGUAAAGCGCACGCAGGCGGUCUGUCAAGUCGGAUGUGAAAUCCCCGGGCUCAACCUGGGAACUGCAUUCGAAACUGGCAGGCUGGAGUCUUGUAGAGGGGGGUAGAAUUCCAGGUGUAGCGGUGAAAUGCGUAGAGAUCUGGAGGAAUACCGGUGGCGAAGGCGGCCCCCUGGACAAAGACUGACGCUCAGGUGCGAAAGCGUGGGGAGCAAACAGGAUUAGAUACCCGUGUAGUC
Molecule: ribosomal RNA, 465 nt
Filed under: uncultured Klebsiella sp.
Lineage: Bacteria; Pseudomonadati; Pseudomonadota; Gammaproteobacteria; Enterobacterales; Enterobacteriaceae
Description: bacterial SSU rRNA
Rfam family: Bacterial small subunit ribosomal RNA
Source: RNAcentral